Molecule: transfer RNA, 76 nt
Filed under: Clostridium isatidis
Lineage: Bacteria; Bacillati; Bacillota; Clostridia; Eubacteriales; Clostridiaceae
Also listed under: 2 other names
Description: tRNA-Phe
Rfam family: tRNA
About the family: Transfer RNA (tRNA) molecules are approximately 80 nucleotides in length. Their secondary structure includes four short double-helical elements and three loops (D, anti-codon, and T loops). Further hydrogen bonds mediate the characteristic L-shaped molecular structure. tRNAs have two regions of fundamental functional importance: the anti-codon, which is responsible for specific mRNA codon recognition, and the 3' end, to which the tRNAs corresponding amino acid is attached (by aminoacyl-tRNA synthetases). tRNAs cope with the degeneracy of the genetic code in two manners: having more than one tRNA (with a specific anti-codon) for a particular amino acid; and 'wobble' base-pairing, i.e. permitting non-standard base-pairing at the 3rd anti-codon position.
Source: RNAcentral
GCCUCGAUAGCUCAGUCGGUAGAGCAGAGGACUGAAAAUCCUCGUGUCACUGGUUCGAUUCCAGUUCGAGGCACCA